GACGAACGCUGGCGGCGUGCUUAACACAUGCAAGUCGAACGGUGAAGCUCCAGCUUGCUGGCGUGGAUCAGUGGCGAACGGGUGAGUAACACGUGAGCAACCUGCCCCUGACUCUGGAAUAAGCGCUGGAAACGGCGUCUAAUACUGGAUACGAGAAGGGUCCGCAUGGGCACUUUCUGGAAAGUACUUCGGUUGGGGAUGGGUUCGCGGGCUAUCAGCUUGUUGGGGAGGUAAGGGUUGACCAAGGCUACGACGGGUAGCCGGCCUGGGAGGGCGACCGGCCACAAUGGGACUGAGACACGGCGCAGACGCCAACGGGAGGCAACAGGGGGGAAUCUGGCGCAGUGGGGGAAAGCCUGAGACAGCGACGCCGCGUGAGGGAUGACGGCUUUCGGGUUGUAAACCUCUUUCAGCAGAGAAGAAGAGAAAGUGACGGUACCUGCAGAAGAAGCACCGGCUAACUACGUG
This 468-nucleotide ribosomal RNA is filed under the name uncultured bacterium. RNAcentral's name for it is "partial 16S ribosomal RNA". It matches the Rfam family "Bacterial small subunit ribosomal RNA", at positions 28 to 507 of the family's 1533-position model. The record is from RNAcentral.